Molecule: ribosomal RNA, 264 nt
Filed under: uncultured bacterium
Lineage: Bacteria
Description: partial 16S ribosomal RNA
Rfam family: Bacterial small subunit ribosomal RNA
Source: RNAcentral
CCGGCGCACGGGUGAGUAACGCGUAUGCGACCUGCCCGUUGCAGGGGGAUAAUCGGGAGAAAUCCCGUCUAAUACCGCGUAACGCCGCGGGGCUGCAUGGCCCUGCGGCCAAAGGGAGCGAUUCCGGCAACGGAUGGGCAUGCGUGACAUUAGCUAGUUGGCGGGGCGACGGCCCACCAAGGCGACGAUGUCUAGGGGUUCUGAGAGGAAGGUCCCCCCACACUGGUACUGAGACACGGACCAGACUCCUACGGAAGGCAGCAG